Regulatory RNA element from Neotoma lepida (desert woodrat), 35 nucleotides. It matches the Rfam family "Iron response element I". The record is from Rfam. NCBI's taxonomy places the organism in Eukaryota, Metazoa, Chordata, Mammalia, Rodentia, Cricetidae.
CAGCUGCCUUCUUCAACAGUGUUUGAAAGGCAUUC